GACGAACGCUGGCGGCGUGCUUAACACAUGCAAGUCGAACGGAAAGGCCCUGCUUUUGUGGGGUGCUCGAGUGGCGAACGGGUGAGUAACACGUGAGUAACCUGCCCUUGACUUUGGGAUAACUUCAGGAAACUGGGGCUAAUACCGGAUAGGAGCUCCUGCUGCAUGGUGGGGGUUGGAAAGUUUCGGCGGUUGGGGAUGGACUCGCGGCUUAUCAGCUUGUUGGUGGGGUAGUGGCUUACCAAGGCUUUGACGGGUAGCCGGCCUGAGAGGGUGACCGGCCACAUGGGGACUGAGAUACGGCCCAGACGCCUACGGGAGGCAGCAGUGGGAAUAUUGCACAAUGGGCGGAAGCCUGAUGCAGCAACGCCGCGUGCGGGAUGACGGCCUUCGGGUUGUAAACCGCUUUCGCCUGUGACGAAGCGUGAGUGACGGUAAUGGGUAAAGAAGCACCGGCUAACUACGUG
RNAcentral lists this ribosomal RNA (467 nucleotides) under uncultured bacterium. Its description in RNAcentral is "partial 16S ribosomal RNA". It matches the Rfam family "Bacterial small subunit ribosomal RNA", at positions 28 to 507 of the family's 1533-position model. The record is from RNAcentral.